This is a microRNA precursor of Oryza rufipogon (brownbeard rice), 206 nucleotides long. It matches the Rfam family "MIR812 microRNA precursor family". Lineage: Eukaryota; Viridiplantae; Streptophyta; Magnoliopsida; Poales; Poaceae. The record is from Rfam.
AAAAAGACAAAACCUGGUUUCCGUGCCCAACAUUUUACCGUCCGUCUUAUUUAAAAAAAUUAUAAAAUAAAUUUAAAAAGACAAGUCACACAUAAAAUAUUAAUCAUGUUUUAUCAUAUAACAAUAAUAAAAAUACGAAUUAUAAAAAAACUUUAUAUAAGACGGACAGUCAAAGUUAGACACAGAAAUCCAGGGUUUGCUUUUUC